CUCUGUGACUCCUACGGGAGGCAGCAGUGGGGAAUAUUGCACAAUGGGGGGAAACCCUGAUGCAGCCAUGCCGCGUGUGUGAAGAAGGCCUUCGGGUUGUAAAGCACUUUCAGUAGGGAGGAAGGUAGUGUAGUUAACACCUGCACUAUUUGACGUUACCUACAGAAGAAGCACCGGCUAACUCCGUGCCAGCAGCCGCGGUAAUACGGAGGGUGCGAGCGUUAAUCGGAAUUACUGGGCGUAAAGCGCAUGCAGGCGGCCUGUUAAGUCAGAUGUGAAAGCCCGGGGCUUAACCUCGGAAUUGCAUUUUGAAACUGGCAGGCUAGAGUCUUGUAGAGGGGGUAGAAUUUCAGGUGUAGCGGUGAAAUGCGUAGAGAUCUGAAGGAAUACCAGUGGCGAAGGCGGCCCCCUGGACAAAGACUGACGCUCAGAUGCGAAAGCGUGGGGAGCAAACAGGAUUAGAUACCCUGGUAG
This 474-nucleotide ribosomal RNA is filed under the name uncultured bacterium. RNAcentral describes it as "bacterial SSU rRNA". It matches the Rfam family "Bacterial small subunit ribosomal RNA", at positions 328 to 793 of the family's 1533-position model. The record is from RNAcentral.